GCGGGAUUAGUACAAUGGUAGUAUGCAUCCUUCCCAAGGAUGAGGCGCGAGUUCGAUUCUCGUAUCCCGCU
Molecule: non-coding RNA, 71 nt
Organism: Candidatus Gottesmanbacteria bacterium RBG_13_37_7
Lineage: Bacteria; Candidatus Gottesmaniibacteriota
Source: Rfam